Molecule: ribosomal RNA, 252 nt
Filed under: uncultured bacterium
Lineage: Bacteria
Description: partial 16S ribosomal RNA
Rfam family: Bacterial small subunit ribosomal RNA
Source: RNAcentral
UACGGAGGAUGCGAGCGUUAUCCGGAUUUAUUGGGUUUAAAGGGUGCGUAGGCGGGUUAUCAAGUCAGCGGUAAAAUCGUGGAGCUCAACUCCAUCCAGCCGUUGAAACUGAUGAUCUUGAGUGGGCGAGAAGUAUGCGGAAUGCGUGGUGUAGCGGUGAAAUGCAUAGAUAUCACGCAGAAUUCCGAUUGCGAAGGCAGCAUACCGGCGCCCGACUGACGCUGAAGCACGAAAGCGUGGGUAUCGAACAGG